RNAcentral lists this ribosomal RNA (301 nucleotides) under uncultured bacterium. RNAcentral describes it as "partial 16S ribosomal RNA". It matches the Rfam family "Bacterial small subunit ribosomal RNA", at positions 509 to 807 of the family's 1533-position model. The record is from RNAcentral.
CAGUCGCCACGGUAAAACGGAGGGGGCUAGCGUUGUUCGGAAUUACUGGGCGUAAAGCGCACGUAGGCGGCUUGGUAAGUUAGAGGUGAAAGCCUGGAGCUCAACUCCAGAAUUGCCUUUAAGACUGCCGAGCUAGCAGGUGAGAGAGGUAAGUGGAAUUCCGAGUGUAGAGGUGAAAUUCGUAGAUAUUCGGAAGAACACCAGUGGCGAAGGCGGCUUACUGGCUCAUACUGGACGCUGAGGUGCGAAAGCGUGGGGAGCAAACAGGAUUAGAUACCCCAGUAGUCCCUGUCUCUUAUAC